AAUUGGUGUUGAGGAGUCUGGCCUACGACAGCAAAUCACAUUCACAUGAUGCUACAACAUCAGACUCAGACCUCUUCAACGAAACUUUAGGAUUUUUACUCAACAGGUACAGCAAAAAGUAGCAACGAUGAUAAUCAAUCAUAUAGAAAAACAAAAUUAUAAGUAGCCAUAUGUAACAACUAUAAACAAGCGACAAGAACUACAAAGAUUGCUAUUGACUUCUGCAGUUCUGCCAGUAAAUUAUAUCUGCAAAAUCACAAACUACAUAUCAUAUAUAUUUACGAGCUCAGAAAACCAUGUCAGAGAAGCAUUCAAAACAAAGAACUUGUCACAUGUGCAGAAAUAAACAAGGACAACACAAAAAUCAGAAAUAAGAUCCACUAGUGACAGGUCCACAUCAAAUCACCUCCAUACAUAUAUAUUCAGAAAAGCCUUCAAACCAACCAAUUACUCCUAGUUACUAAUGGAUAACCAAAAAAAUCCAAACGACCCCUGACACCACAAACGGUAAUCAAUAACAAACAUUUUAUAAACCAAACAAAUUUCUUCGUAUCUACUCCUAGUUAAAGCCGAAAAAUCGCCAACCCAAAUUCACAUUAACAUAAUACAACAAACAAUU
This 619-nucleotide unclassified non-coding RNA is filed under the name Hevea brasiliensis (rubber tree). The record is from RNAcentral. Lineage: Eukaryota; Viridiplantae; Streptophyta; Magnoliopsida; Malpighiales; Euphorbiaceae.